GUAUAGUUGAAGGAUAAACUAGUCCACCACAGCAUUAGAUAAGGUAUAGUUGAAGGAUAAACUAGUUCAGCACAGCAUUAGAUAAGGUAUAGUUGAAGGAUAAACUAGUUCAGCACAGCAUUAGAUAAGGUAUAGUUGAAGGAUAAACUAGUUCAGCACAGCAUUAGAUAAGGUAGAGUUGAAGGAUAAACUAGUUCAGCACAGCAUUAGAUAAGGUAUAGUUGAAGGAUAAACUAGUCCGGCACAGCAUUAGAUAAGGUAUAGUUGAAGGAUAAACUAGUCCAGCAUUAGAUAAGGUAUAGUUGAAGGAUAAACUAGUUCAGCACAGCAUUAGAUAAGGUAUAGUUGAAUGAUAAACUAGUUCAUCACAGCAUUAG
This is a long non-coding RNA of Oncorhynchus keta (chum salmon), 377 nucleotides long. RefSeq lists it as uncharacterized. The record is from RefSeq and is a predicted model, not a curated record. The transcript is spliced from 3 exons. Lineage: Eukaryota; Metazoa; Chordata; Actinopteri; Salmoniformes; Salmonidae.